Molecule: ribosomal RNA, 129 nt
Filed under: Danio rerio (zebrafish)
Lineage: Eukaryota; Metazoa; Chordata; Actinopteri; Cypriniformes; Danionidae
Source: RNAcentral
UUUAACCAGUCCAUGCAUUUUCUGGGAAACAAAUGCAAAUACAUAACCCGCCCACUGAAGCUAAGCAGGGCUGCGCCCGGUCAGUACCUGGAUGGGAGAACACAUGGGAAAGCUAGGUUGCUGUCGAAU